UACGGGGGGGGCAAGCGUUGUUCGGAAUUACUGGGCGUAAAGGGCUCGUAGGCGGUUUGUCGCGUCGGGAGUGAAAACGCCGUGCUUAACACGGCGCUUGCUUUCGAUACGGGCAGACUAGAGGUAUGCAGGGGAGAACGGAAUUCCUGGUGUAGCGGUGAAAUGCGCAGAUAUCAGGAGGAACACCGGUGGCGAAGGCGGUUCUCUGGGCAUUUCCUGACGCUGAGGCGCGAAAGCGUGGGGAGCAAACGGG
RNAcentral lists this ribosomal RNA (253 nucleotides) under uncultured bacterium. RNAcentral's name for it is "partial 16S ribosomal RNA". It matches the Rfam family "Bacterial small subunit ribosomal RNA", at positions 524 to 776 of the family's 1533-position model. The record is from RNAcentral.